Molecule: ribosomal RNA, 292 nt
Filed under: uncultured bacterium
Lineage: Bacteria
Description: partial 16S ribosomal RNA
Rfam family: Bacterial small subunit ribosomal RNA
Source: RNAcentral
GUGUCAGCCGCCGCGGUAAUACGGAGGGUGCAAGCGUUAUCCGGAUUCACUGGGUUUAAAGGGUGCGUAGGCGGGUUGGUAAGUCAGUGGUGAAAUCCCCGAGCUUAACUUGGGAACUGCCAUUGAUACUAUUAAUCUUGAAUACCGUGGAGGUCGACGGAAUAUGUCAUGUAGCGGUGAAAUGCUUAGAUAUGACAUAGAACACCAAUUGCGAAGGCAGUUGACUACGCGAGUAUUGACGCUGAGGCACGAAAGCGUGGGGAUCAAACAGGAUUAGAUACCCGUGUAGUCC